Molecule: ribosomal RNA, 1970 nt
Filed under: human gut metagenome
Description: bacterial LSU rRNA
Rfam family: Bacterial large subunit ribosomal RNA
Source: RNAcentral
GAAAGUAAUGAAGGGCGUACGGUGGAUGCCUAGGCUCUUACAGGCGAUGAAGGACGUGAUAAGCUGCGAAAAGCCGCGGUGAGGCGCAAAUGGCCCUUGACCCGCGGAUCUCCGAAUGGGACAACCCAAUAUCUUGAAGAGAUAUUAUCCCGCCGAUGCGGGAGGCGAACGCGGGGAACUGAAACAUCUUAGUACCCGCAGGAAAAGAAAAUAAAGAAUGAUUCCCCCAGUAGUGGCGAGCGACCGGGGAACAGCCCAAACCGACGUUGUCUCGGCAUCGUCGGGGUUGUAGGACCGCGCCAUCGCAAGAAAGGCCGUGAGUGGAAGCGACUGGAAAGCCGCGCCAUAGAGGGUGACAGCCCCUUACACGAAGCAGCCAGAAGCGUAGCGGACUCCUGAGUAGCGCGGGACACGAGUAAUCCUGUGUGAAUCCGCCGGGCCCAUCCGGCAAGGCUAAAUACUCGUAAGAGACCGAUAGUGAACCAGUACCGUGAGGGAAAGGUGAAAAGGACCCCUUGCAGGGGAGUGAAAGAGUUCCUGAAACCGUACGCCUACAAGCGGUCGGAGCAUCUUGAAUGAUGUGACGGCGUGCCUUUUGCAUAAUGAACCUACGAGUUGCCGUCACCAGCGAGGUUAAGUGCGAUGACGCACCGAGCCGCAGCGGAAGCGAGUCUUAAAAGGGCGCAAUAGUUGGUGGAGGCAGACGCGAAACCGAGUGAUCUACACUUGUCCAGGAUGAAGUCCCGGUAACACGGGAUGGAGGUCCGCACCAAUAAGCGUUGAAAAGCUUCUGGAUGAGGUGAGUGUAGGAGUGAAAGGCCAAUCAAACUCGGAGAUAGCUCGUACUCCCCGAAAGGCAUUUAGGUGCCGCCUGUGGCGUUCCCGACGUGAGGUAGAGCGACUGAUAGGAUGCGAGGGCUUCACCGCCUAUCAAGUCCUGACAAACUCCGAAUGCACGUCGGCCAAGCCAUGGAGUAAGGGCAUGGGUGCUAAGGUCCGUGCCCGAGAGGAGAAGAAUCCAGACCACCGGCUAAGGUCCCGAAAUACUGGUUAAGUUAGACUAACGCAGUCCGGCCCCCAAGACAGCUAGGAUGUUGGCUUGGAAGCAGCCAUUCAUUCAAAGAGUGCGUAACAGCUCACUAGUCGAGGAGCUGGGCGUGGAUAAUAAUCGGGUAUGAAACCAGUUACCGAAGCCGUGGGAUGCUUAAGCAUCGGUAGGGGAGCAUUGCAUGCGGCUUAGAAGGCGGGGCGUGAGCCCCUCUGGAGCGCAUGGAAACGCAAAUGUAGGUAUAAGUAACGACAAGGGGGGUGGGAUGCCCCCCCGCCGAAAGACCAAGGUUUCCUGAACAACGCUAAUCGGUUCAGGGUCAGUCGGGUCCUAAGCAUAAGCCGUAUGGCGAGGGCGAUGGACGAAACGGUUAAUAUUCCGUUACUGUCUUGGUGUGUGACGCGGCGACGGAGUAGUGACACGGCCGCCUCCUGACGGAAAAGGGGGUUGAAGCGCAAAGGUGUCGAGGAAGGCAGGCAAAUCCACCUUCCGAGCCGAAGCGCGAAAGUACGCCGGGCCCUUUGGGGCAAGGCGAUAGUGCCGGUAAUCAGACUUCCAAGAAAACCCGCUAAACUUCAGCACCAAGUCACCCGUACUCCAAACGGACACACGUGGUCGGGUAGAAUAUACUAAGGCGCUUGGGAGAUUCACGGUUAAGGAACUAGGCAAAUUGACCCCGUACCUUCGGAAUAAGGGGUCCUCGCUUUUGCGAGGCGCAGAGAAUAGGUCCAGGCAACUGUUUAACAAAAACACAGGGCUGUGCAAAUUUGAAAGAAGAAGUAUACAGCCUGACACCUGCCCGGUGCCGGAAGGUUAAGAGGAGAGCUCAUCAGCGAUGAGAAGGCUUGAAUUGAAGCCCCGGUAAACGGCGGCCGUAACUAUAACGGUCCUAAGGUAGCGAAAUUCCUUGUCGGGUAAGUUC